Molecule: long non-coding RNA, 2040 nt
Filed under: Oncorhynchus kisutch (coho salmon)
Lineage: Eukaryota; Metazoa; Chordata; Actinopteri; Salmoniformes; Salmonidae
Description: lncRNA (ENSOKIG00005043406.1)
Source: RNAcentral
AUGUACACCUGGCUGUCUAGAGGUGAGUGUGUCAGUCUCUCCCCCCCUUUGGUCCUGACAUCCAGCCCUCCUCUCUCUCUCUCUCUCUGGUCCCCAGCCCUUCUCUCUCUCUCUCUCUCUGGUCCCCAGCCCCUUCUCUCUCUCUCUCUCUCUCUGGUCCCCAGCCCUUCUCUCUCUCUCUCUCUCUGGUCCCCAGCCCUCCUCUCUCUCUCUCUGGUCCCCCAGCCCUCCUCUCUCUCUCUGGUCCCCAGCCCUCCUCUCUCUCUCUCUGGUCCCCAGCCCUCCUCUCUCUCUCUCUGGUCCCCCAGCCCUCCUCUCUCUCUCUCUGGUCCCCAGCCCUCCUCUCUCUCUCUCUGGUCCCCAGCCAUCCUCCUCUCUCUCUCUGGUCCCCAGCCCUCCUCUCUCUCUCUCUCUCUGGUCCCCAGCCCUCCUCUCUCUCUCUCUCUCUGGUCCCCAGCCCUCCUCUCUCUCUCUCUCUCUCUGGUCCCCAGCCCUCCUCUCUCUCUCUCUGGUCCCCAGCCCUCCUCUCUCUCUCUCUGGUCCCCAGCCCUCCUCUCUCUCUCUCUGGUCCCCUGCCCUCCUCUCUCUCUCUCUGGUCCCCAGCCCUCCUCUCUCUCUCUCUGGUCCCCAGCCCUCCUCUCUCUCUCUGGUCCCCAGCCCUCCUCUCUCUGGUCCCCAGCCCUCCUCUCUCUCUCUCUCUGGUCCCCAGCCCUCCUCUCUCUCUCUCUCUGGUCCCCAGCCCUCCUCUCUCUCUCUCUCUCUCUGGUCCCCAGCCCUCCUCUCUCUCUCUCUCUCUCUGGUCCCCAGCCCUCCUCUCUCUCUCUCUCUCUCUCUGGUCCCCAGCCCUCCUCUCUCUCUCUCUCUCUCUCUAUGGUCCCCAGCCCUCCUCUCUCUCUCUCUCUCUCUAUGGUCCCAGCCCUCCUCUCUCUCUCUCUCUCUCUCUGGUCCCCAGCCCUCCUCCUCUCUUUCUCUCUCUCUCUCUCUGGUCCCCAGCCCUCCUCUCUCUUUCUCUCUCUCUCUCUCUCUGGUCCCCAGCCCUCCUCUCUCUCUCUCUCUGGUCCCCCAGCCCUCCUCUUCUCUCUCUCUCUCUCUCUGGUCCCCAGCCCUCCUCUCUCUCUCUCUCUCUCUCUCUAUGUCCCAGCCCUCCUCUCUCUCUCUCUCUCUCUGGUCCCCAGCCCUCCUCUCUCUCUCUCUCUCUCUCUGGUCCCAGCCCUCCUCUCUCUCUCUCUCUCUCUCUGGGUCCCCAGCCCUCCUCUCUCUCUCUCUCUCUCUCUCUGGUCCCCAGCCCUCCUCUCUCUCUCUCUCUCUCUCUCUCUCUCUCUGGUCCCCAGCCCUCCUCUCUCUCUCUCUCUCUCUCUCUCUGGUCCCCAGCCCUCCUCUCUCUCUCUUCUCUCUCUCUCUGGUCCCCAAGCCCUCCUCUCUCUCUCUCUCUCUCUCUCUCUGGUCCCCAGCCCUCCUCCUCUCUCUCUCUCUCUCUCUGGUCCCAGCCCUCCUCUCUCUCUCGCUCUCUCUCUCUGUCCCCAGCCCUCCUCUCUCUCUCGCUCUCUCUGGUCCCCAGCCCUCCUCUCUCUCUCGCUCUCUCUGGUCCCCAGCCCUCCUCUCUCUCUCUCUCUGGUCCCCAGCCCUCCUCUCUCUCUCUCUCUGGUCCCAGCCCUCCUCUCUCUCUCUCUCUGGUCCCAGCCCUCCUCUCUCUCUCUCUGGUCCCCAGCCCUCCUCGUCCUCUCUCUCUCUGGUCCCCAGCCCUCCUCUCUCUCUGGUCCCCCAGCCCUCCUCUCUCUCUGGUCCCCAGCCCUCCUCUCUCUCUGGUCCCCAGCCCUCCUCUCUCUCUCUCUCUGGUCCCCAAGCCCUCCUCUCUCUCUGGUCCCCAGCCCUCCUCUCUCUCUCUCUCUGGUCUCCAGCCCUCCUCUCUCUCUCUCUGGUCCCCAGCCCUCCUCUCUCUCUCUCUGGUCCCCAGCCCUCCUCUCUCUCUCUGGUCCCCAGCCCUCUCAAUUCAAUUCAAUUCAAUUCAAGGGCUUUAUUGGCAUGGGAAACAUGUGUUAA